GACGAACGCUGGCGGCGUGCUUAACACAUGCCAGUCGAACGGAAAGGCCCUGCUUUUGUGGGGUGCUCGAGUGGCGAACGGGUGAGUAACACGUGAGUAACCUGCCCUUGACUUUGGGAUAACUUCAGGAAACUGGGGCUAAUACCGGAUAGGCGCUCCUGCUGCAUGGUGGGGGUUGGAAAGGUUCGGCGGUUGGGGAUGGACUGGCGGCUUAUCAGCUUGUUGGUGGGGUAGUGGCUUACCAAGGCUUUGACGGGUAGCCGGCCUGAGAGGGUGACCGGCCACAUUGGGACUGAGAUACGGCCCAGACUCCUACGGGAGGCAGCGGUGGGGAAUAUUACACAAUGGGCGGAAGCCUGAUGCAGCAACGCCGCGUGCGGGAUGACGGCCUUCGGGUUGUAAACCGCUUUCGCCUGAGACGAAGAGUGAGUGACGGUAAUGGGUAAAGAAGCACCGGCUAACUACGUG
This 468-nucleotide ribosomal RNA is filed under the name uncultured bacterium. RNAcentral's name for it is "partial 16S ribosomal RNA". It matches the Rfam family "Bacterial small subunit ribosomal RNA", at positions 28 to 507 of the family's 1533-position model. The record is from RNAcentral.